RNAcentral lists this unclassified non-coding RNA (269 nucleotides) under uncultured fungus. RNAcentral describes it as "sequence contains ITS2". The stretch from base 1 to 52 matches the Rfam family "5.8S ribosomal RNA", at positions 103 to 154 of the family's 154-position model. The record is from RNAcentral. Lineage: Eukaryota; Fungi.
AACGCACAUUGCGCCCGCCAGUAUUCUGGCGGGCAUGCCUGUCCGAGCGUCAUUUCAACCCUCGAACCCCUCCGGGGGGUCGGCGUUGGGGAUCGGCCCUCCCUUCGCGGGGCGGCCGGCCCCGAAAUGCAGUGGCGGUCUCGCCGCGGCCUCUCCUGCGCAGUAGUUUGCACGCUCGCAUCGGGAGCGCGGCGCGUCCAAUGCCGUAAAACACCCCAACUUUCCGAAAUGUUGACCUCGGAUCAGGUAGGAAUACCCGCUGAACUUAA